This 631-nucleotide ribosomal RNA is filed under the name Triticum aestivum (bread wheat). RNAcentral's name for it is "partial small subunit ribosomal RNA". The record is from RNAcentral. Lineage: Eukaryota; Viridiplantae; Streptophyta; Magnoliopsida; Poales; Poaceae.
CACCGCCGGCCCCGCGCCACCCACACCCCAUCCCAACCGGAGCCUCCGCCCCCGCACCGCUCGCACCCCGCCCCAACCGGCGCCGGCACUGCCACCCCAACGGGCAUCGCUGUAGGCCCACCCCAACCGAGCGUGCCGCCGAUGGUUGCCUCGCACCCCGACCCUGGAGGGCACCACGCGCCUCCGCCGGGCCCUGCCACCUCUGCUGGCUCCCGCUUGGAUCCGGUGAUGCCAUCGACCAUCGGAACCGAUGCCGCUCGCACCCCGGUCACCUCUGCCGCUAGCACACCACCGUUGCGCGCCGCCGAUGCAGGACACAUACUGAUGCUCUGUUGCUGUGCCGCGGAUGACCAAGAGUGACCUUAUUCCACCUCCCCAAAAGCCGCCACUCGGGACCCCCGCACUCAGGCCCUCCCCUUGCCGCCGCAAACUUCUCCCCUACCACCGUGACCUUCUUUCCCUUGCGCCGCGACCUUCUUCCACCUUCCUCCUCCACCCUUCGGUCGUGAGGCAACGCACCAACUAGCCAAAUGGGUCACCGCCCACCACCCGCACGCCAUCCAACACAGAUCGAUACCAGGCAACAUGAGAUAUCCCUCCUCCCAACGCGUCUCUACCAUCCUGCAGGUAU